UUACCCAUCGUGAUGUGGUUAUUACAAUCAUAAUUACUUGAUUGACAGGGCAAUAUUUUAUUGCCCUUUUGUUUUU
Molecule: small RNA, 76 nt
Filed under: uncultured Buttiauxella sp.
Lineage: Bacteria; Pseudomonadati; Pseudomonadota; Gammaproteobacteria; Enterobacterales; Enterobacteriaceae
Description: ABC transporter regulator
Rfam family: ABC transporter regulator
About the family: DapZ sRNA, encoded in the 3'-UTR of the conserved dapB gene, as a translational repressor with a GcvB-like seed domain. This is the first example of a widely conserved bacterial gene whose 3'-UTR has dual function.
Source: RNAcentral